CCUACGGGUGGCAGCAGUGGGGGAUAUUGCACAAUGGGGGAAACCCUGAUGCAGCGACGCCGCGUGUGGGAAGACGGCCCUCUGGAUUGUAAACCACUGUCCCCAGGGACGAAGAUGCCGGUAGCUGGGGAGGAAGCUCCUGCUAACUACGUGCCAGCAGCCGCGGUAAUACGUAGGGAGCGAGCGUUGUCCGGAUUUACUGGGUGUAAAGGGAGCGUAGGCGGGACUGCAAGUUGGGUGUAAAAUCUACCGGCUCAACCCGGAGGCGCAGUCAAAACUGCAGUUCUUGAGUGAAGUAGAGGCAGGCGGAAUUCCUGGUGUAGCGGUGAAAUGCGUAGAUAUUGGGAGGAACUCCAGUGGCGAAGGCAGCCUGCUGGGCUUUUACUGACGCUGAGGCUCGAAAGUGUGGGGAGCGAACAGGAUUAGAUACCCUGGUAGUC
This 440-nucleotide ribosomal RNA is filed under the name uncultured bacterium. Its description in RNAcentral is "partial 16S ribosomal RNA". It matches the Rfam family "Bacterial small subunit ribosomal RNA", at positions 338 to 795 of the family's 1533-position model. The record is from RNAcentral.